UGGGGAAUUUUGCGCAAUGGGCGAAAGCCUGACGCAGCAACGCCGCGUGUGUGAUGAAGGUCUUCGGAUUGUAAAGCACUUUCGACCGGGACGAAAACCCUCUGGCUAACAUCCAGGGGCUUGACGGUACCGGGAGAAGAAGCACCGGCUAACUCUGUGCCAGCAGCCGCGGUAAUACAGAGGGUGCAAGCGUUGUUCGGAAUUAUUGGGCGUAAAGCGCGUGUAGGCGGCUUUGCAAGUCGGGUGUGAAAGCCCUCAGCUCAACUGAGGAAGUGCGCCCGAAACUGCAGAGCUUGAGUACCGGAGAGGGUGGCGGAAUUCCCCAAGUAGAGGUGAAAUUCGUAGAUAUGGGGAGGAACACCGGUGGCGAAGGCGGCCACCUGGACGGUCACUGACGCUGAGACGCGAAAGCGUGGGGAGCAAACA
This 426-nucleotide ribosomal RNA is filed under the name uncultured Cystobacter sp. RNAcentral's name for it is "bacterial SSU rRNA". It matches the Rfam family "Bacterial small subunit ribosomal RNA", at positions 355 to 774 of the family's 1533-position model. The record is from RNAcentral. Lineage: Bacteria; Pseudomonadati; Myxococcota; Myxococcia; Myxococcales; Archangiaceae.